AUCAGAACUUACAUAACUAGCAACCUUUAGUCACUGUGGUCUGAGCUAGGGUAUGAUCUUUAACCUCUGUUUUGCUCUCAAAGUCCAAAAACACACACACAAAAAAAAUUAUUUUCAUGUUAAUUAUUAAGCCAAUUAUUUUCCUACCGAUUUGUGGUCCAAAGUAGAAUCUCCAUUCUUUGUACUCUUGGAAGAGCAUAUUGGCAGUGGAAGAAAGGAAGAGGUGAGAGAAGCUCAAAUUCCUGCUCAGACUUCAGAAAGAAUAAGGAGAGGUGAAUAGUAGGAGCCUCUACCUCAAAGGCAUCAUAUAUACCUUAUAAUGGAAUUUACAGUAAACUGCCUCUCCAUUUGCAUUAA
This is a non-coding RNA of Ictidomys tridecemlineatus (thirteen-lined ground squirrel), 357 nucleotides long. NCBI's taxonomy places the organism in Eukaryota, Metazoa, Chordata, Mammalia, Rodentia, Sciuridae. The record is from RefSeq and is a predicted model, not a curated record.